AUUGAACGCUGGCGGCAUGCCUUACACAUGCAAGUCGAACGGUAACGGGCCUUCGGGUGCCGCCGAGUGGCGAACGGGUGAGUAAUACAUCGGAACGUGCCCGAUCGCGGGGGAUAACGAGGCGAAAGCUUUGCUAAUACCUCAUACGAUCUACGGAUGAAAGCAGGGGACCGCAAGGCUUGGCGCGGACGGAGCGGCCGAUGGCAGAUUAGGUAGUUGGUGGGAUAAAAGCUUACCAAGCCGACGAUCUGUAGCUGGUCUGAGAGGAUGAUCAGCCACACUGGGACUGAGACACGGCCCAGACUCCUACGGGAGGCAGCAGUGGGGAAUUUUAGGCAAUGGGCGAAAGCCUGAUCCAGCAAUGCCGCGUGCAGGAUGAAGGCCUUCGGGUUGUAAACUGCUUUUGUACGGAACGAAAAGCCUUCUUUUAAUCCAGGAGGAUCAUGACGGUACCGUAAGAAUAAGCACCGGCUAACUACGUG
RNAcentral lists this ribosomal RNA (482 nucleotides) under uncultured bacterium. Its description in RNAcentral is "partial 16S ribosomal RNA". It matches the Rfam family "Bacterial small subunit ribosomal RNA", at positions 30 to 507 of the family's 1533-position model. The record is from RNAcentral.